Molecule: ribosomal RNA, 1128 nt
Filed under: Triticum aestivum (bread wheat)
Lineage: Eukaryota; Viridiplantae; Streptophyta; Magnoliopsida; Poales; Poaceae
Description: partial small subunit ribosomal RNA
Source: RNAcentral
AUGGCAGCUCUCCGCGCGCUCGUCGUCGGCAUUGCCAUCGUCGCCGCAGCCGCACAUUAUUGGGUCGCCGGUGGCACGGCGACCAAGGGCCCGGUGACGUACGUGUUCGGCGACUCGAUGUCGGACGUGGGGAACAACAACUACUUCCAGCUCUCCCUCGCCAGGUCCAACUACCCCUGGUACGGCAUCGACUACCCCAACGGCGUCGCCACCGGGAGGUUCACCAACGGCAGAACCAUUGGAGACUACAUGGCGGCCAAGUUUGGCAUCCCGCCCCCGCCGCCGUUCCUCUCCCUGUCGUUGGCCGACGAUGACUUCCUCGCCGGCGUCAACUUCGCGUCUGGUGGCGCCGGCAUUCUGAACGAGACAGGCGUCUACUUUGUCGAGUACUUCUCGUUCGACGAGCAGAUAUCGUGCUUCGAGACUGUCAAGAGGGCCAUGAUCGCCAAGAUCGGCAAGGAGGCCGCCGAGGAGACCGUCAACGCAGCGAUGUUCCAAAUUGGUCUCGGGAGCAACGACUACAUCAACAACUUCCUGCAGCCGUUCAUGGCGGACGGCACGACGUACACGCACGACCAGUUCAUCCGCCUUCUCGUCGCCACUCUAGACAGGCAGCUCAAGAGGCUGUACGGGCUCGGCGCGCGGAAGGUGGCGUUCAACGGGCUACCCCCGCUCGGCUGCAUCCCGUCGCAGCGCGUCAAGUCGGCCACCGGGGAGUGCAUAGCCCAGGUGAACAGCUACGCCGUGCAGUUCAACGCCGCCGCCAAGAAGCUGCUAGACGGCAUGAACGCCAAGCUGCCCGGCGCGCAGAUGGCGCUCGCCGACUGCUACUCCGUCGUCAAGGAGCUCAUCGACCACCCGCAGAGAAACGGGUUCACGACGUCCGACACGUCGUGCUGCGGCGUGGACACGAAGGUCGGGGGCCUCUGCCUGCCGGACUCGACGCCCUGCCGCGACCGCAAGGCGUACGUGUUCUGGGACGCGUACCACACCUCCGACGCCGCCAACCGGGUCAUCGCCGACCGCCUCUGGGCCGGCAUGACAACGGCGAGCGCUCCGACUCCGGCUCCUCGCGCCGGCGCGCCCGGGCCAGUCGCGGUGCCGGCGCCUUCUCCUUCUCGUGCUUAA